Molecule: long non-coding RNA, 1571 nt
Organism: Anguilla rostrata (American eel)
Lineage: Eukaryota; Metazoa; Chordata; Actinopteri; Anguilliformes; Anguillidae
Exons: 3
Source: RefSeq, a predicted model, not a curated record
UAACGCGCGUGCCUCACUUCGCCACAGUGCGCUUUUAUUUGUAAUCACUCAGUCUCUGGCGCCGCCCGAAACCUCAGACCUCUUUAAAGCGGAACACUCUGGGCUUUUAAUUGCCACGGUGGCGAAAUACACAUGCCCGUUGUGUCACCUUAAUCCCGCCAUUUUCAGGGCUGACACGGCUCCCGAACCGAAGUUCUCUCACAAAGCAAUACGUUUUAAGGUAUCUGCGUUUUUCUUAGUGUAGCUUCGGGUAGACCCGUGACAGAAUCGCAAUUUGGUGAUUUAAGGGCACGUCAAUGGCUCGGCUUAUGGAUGUUGUUGAAGGCAGUUGUUUAUGAACACUUGUCUGUUUUCAGCAUCAUAGGCUAACAAUUGUUUCAUAUAUUUAUUUAUUUAUUAUUUGGCCAUUUAUUUCCAAAUGACAUCCUCCUGAUCACCACUAAAUUCAUGUGCAAGACAUAUAAUAUUGUAUUCUAUUUCGUUUAGACACUAACGUUGCAAGCCAACCAAUUUAUUAGCUAACUUGCCAUAGCCGUGUCUCGCAAUGAGGGCUUGAACUGCUAUGAUCUAUUUUACCUUCCACAAACCAUGUAAGAUGCUUAACCAAUAUAGCUUACAGAUGUUUGCUAUUGGUGCAGUUUAGCUAAGUUUAGCUGCAUACAGGGCUCACAGCAGCCAAAGAAAUUAGCUUGGUUUUGUUUUUCUUACAGUCGUCGACCUCCUUUGGUGCUUUUCAGGCGGCCAUUUUGAAACGAAGACCUCUAUAGACGGCGGCAGGCCUUACGAUUCCUGAAGAAUGGAUUUCACGAUCUUUUCCUCCCGGUUUUGGUUGAGCUAUUUUAGCAUGUCUCCUGGGUUAGCACUGCUGCUGAACUGUUCAGGCGGAUCUGUGAGCUUGUUAAGAAGAAGGUAGCUGAGCUACUGUGGUCCCCGGGCACAGGCGGUCAUCGUACGAGCAGGCCCGGAAAAAUAUGCUCGUCAGCCAGAAGAUGAGUGGGGAGCCCUGGGAUUUGAAAUACACUCAGACGCCCUCGAAUAUUACCGCCAGAAGACGACUGGGUGUACGGAUUUAGUCACAACGUGAGCUUAAAGGAUGAGCUCACUUCGCACAUUUACCGUUUCUCCAGAGUGCGCUGUGCCGCGACUAGACUUUUCAUGCUAAUUCUUCUCCAACAAGAUCGACGUUGGUGUCAACAAUUCCACCUACUUGUUUGCCCAUUCAAUCACAGCCUGGUCUUAGGACAUGUCUUUCAUUUUAGGAUCAGCCUCUCAUGCCCUGAUUACACAUUUCUGCCCCAUCCAUGUUUCACAAUUAUAAUCGUUCAUUAGGGCCAUCUUGUGUGUAUUCCAAUCCAUGUUUUGGACCGGAGUGAUGAGCGACAUCGUCUCGAAUCGGAUUUGGCUCACGCCAGUGCCUACUGUGGCCGCCAGCCCUGCCCUGGGCGGCGCACAAUUGCCUUUCCGUUACCCAAGAGAUUUAUGGGAAGGAUUCAGUCAGUGGGGAUGGCACUGUUCCUUGCUCUAGUGACCCCCGUUGGCUUUCCGAACACCCGUGGCUUGCUCUCGGGGGU